GCCUUCGUGGUGUAAUGGUCAGCACGCUCGACGCCUUUUCCAGAGAUCCAUGGUUCGAGUCCCGGCUAGGGCA
RNAcentral lists this transfer RNA (73 nucleotides) under Stegodyphus mimosarum. It matches the Rfam family "tRNA". Rfam says of the family: Transfer RNA (tRNA) molecules are approximately 80 nucleotides in length. Their secondary structure includes four short double-helical elements and three loops (D, anti-codon, and T loops). The record is from Rfam by way of RNAcentral. Lineage: Eukaryota; Metazoa; Arthropoda; Arachnida; Araneae; Eresidae.